AGAGUUUGAUCCUGGCUCAGGAUGAACGCUGGCGGCGUGCCUAACACAUGCAAGUCGAGCGAUCUCUUCGGAGAGAGCGGCGGACGGGUGAGUAACGCGUGGGUAAUCUGCCCUGUACACACGGAUAACAUACCGAAAGGUAUGCUAAUACGGGAUAACAUACGAAAUUCGCAUGUUUUUCGUAUCAAAGCUCCGGCGGUACAGGAUGGACCCGCGUCUGAUUAGCUAGUUGGUGAGGUAACGGCUCACCAAGGCGACGAUCAGUAGCCGACCUGAGAGGGUGAUCGGCCACAUUGGAACUGAGACACGGUCCAAACUCCUACGGGAGGCAGCAGUGGGGAAUAUUGCACAAUGGGCGAAAGCCUGAUGCAGCAACGCCGCGUGAGCGAUGAAGGCCUUCGGGUCGUAAAGCUCUGUCCUCAAGGAAGAUAAUGACGGUACUUGAGGAGGAAGCCCCGGCUAACUACGUGCCAGCAGCCGCGGUAAUACGUAGGGGGCUAGCGUUAUCCGGAUUUACUGGGCGUAAAGGGUGCGUAGGCGGUCUUUUAAGUCAGGAGUGAAAGGCUACGGCUCAACCGUAGUAAGCUCUUGAAACUGGAGGACUUGAGUGCAGGAGAGGAGAGUGGAAUUCCUAGUGUAGCGGUGAAAUGCGUAGAUAUUAGGAGGAACACCAGUAGCGAAGGCGGCUCUCUGGACUGUAACUGACGCUGAGGCACGAAAGCGUGGGGAGCAAACAGGAUUAGAUACCCUGGUAGUCCACGCCGUAAACGAUGAGUACUAGGUGUAGGGGGUUGCCCCCUUUGGGGAGGCAGGUAACGCAUUAAGUCCUUCGCCUGGGGAGGACGCUCGCCAGAGUGAAAAUCAAAGGAAAUGACGGGGAGCCGCCCCAGUAGCGGAGCAUGUGGUUUAAUUUGAAGCAACGGGAAGAACCUUACCUAAGUUUGACAUCAUUUUGGCUGACGCCUAAUAGCAGUUGUUCCUUCGGGGCCAAAGAGACAGGUGGUGCAUGGUUGUCGUCAGCUCGUGUCGUGAGAUGUUGGGUUAAGUCCCGCAACGAGCGCAACCCUUAUUACUAGUUGCCAUCAUUUAGUUGGGCACUCUAGUGAGACUGCCGGUGACAAACCGGAGGAAGGUGGGGAUGACGUCAAAUCAUCAUGCCCCUUAUGACCUGGGCUACACACGUGCUACAAUGGAUGGUACAACGAGUUGCGAGCCCGCGAGGGUGAGCUAAUCUCUUAAAACCAUUCUCAGUUCGGAUUGCAGGCUGCAACUCGCCUACAUGAAGCCGGAAUCGCUAGUAAUCGCGGAUCAGCACGCCGCGGUGAAUACGUUCCCGGGCCUUGCACUCACCGCCCGUCA
RNAcentral lists this ribosomal RNA (1359 nucleotides) under uncultured bacterium. RNAcentral's name for it is "bacterial SSU rRNA". It matches the Rfam family "Bacterial small subunit ribosomal RNA". The record is from RNAcentral.